GUACAUUAGUGAAGGAUGAUGGUUCUCCAUGUCCCCGAGCCCAUCAAGCUUCAGGAUCCAUGUCAAUGGAUGCCACCGUCGGCACAUUUUAAAAUAAGGGUGACUCUGAGGGCUCAUCAUCAUCAUCAAGUGCCCAGCACUUAGGACAGCCUAAGCCAGGUGGCUGAGUGCUUUACCUGCUUCCUCCCACAUAAUCCUCACGGCUCCUCUGAGAGGCUUAUCCCCACUUUACAGGUGAGAAUACAAGCUCAGAGAGGUUGAGCCCCUUGCCCCCAGAUCAGCAUGUAGAUCUUGCAGGGGUGGCCUGGCCUAAAAGCCAGCUGCUCUGUAGCCUUUGGACCAGCAGCCAUUCCUCCUUCCAGCCUCUGCAAGUCGUGGUCAGUGGCCCCCAGGGCCCCACAUGGCCCCACACACACAUGGGACGGAGUACUAAAGUGGUCACAAGCUUUACCCCCAAGAGACACAGCACACUGAAGAUUUGGUAGCAAGCAGCCGUGGGAGAGCCGUGGGGCACAUUUACACGUCCAAAGUGGUUUACCAUAAGACAGCCAGAGCCUCUAUUCUGCCUCAUGCAUCACCUUUAAAGUCAUCAGCAGAGUUCUGAUUCCCCAACCAUACACGUUGGAGGUUGUUUCUGAACAAAGCAAAAAUAAGCCCAGCUCAACUUUGAGGUUGGUUGGAGCUGUCACUACAGUGCAGAAAAUGAGCUGUUCAGAAUUACAAACCAAGAAAUGGUAUAUGGAGCUUAUUGGUGGAGAAUAGGGGGCGGGGAGCUCAUGAAAAUCUGAAUUUGCAGUCACUUUUCUAAACCUUCCUCUCCUUCUGAGCAUGUAUGUCACCUUUCUAGGUCUCUAUCUUGAGACAUCGGGAUUUGGAUGGUUAAUUGCCCUUGAUAAGUUUAUGGUAGUUAUACAUGCAAAUCCCUAUGCACAGGGGUGAAAUGUGGCCCGUGAAGCCUCUUUUUGUUUUGUAAUUUUUAUUUUAAGUAAAUAACCAAGACAGCAUUUCAUAGUGUUACUAAUAUGCUGCUCUAUUAAACUCAUAACAAAUAUAUUAUUUUCUGCAGCCUAGAGUAUCAGUUCAUUUAACUGACACUAAUUUUGAGCCUUAGUUGCUUUGCAAAACCUUGCUUUUUGCUGGUUUGAGACUCCUGUGUUAUAUGCUGAGACCUCGGCGCCUUCUGCGCCGUGCCGCCCACCCGCCCCACUCUGCCCCUACCCCUGCCCCAGCCAGAAGCAAGUGUUUAGGCUCUUGGUCUAAUGUGCUGAUUCGGGAGAGCUCUGUCUGGUCUCUCCGUUUAGAUGAUGAGGUAACCGUGGGGAAGUUCUAUGCCACUUUCCUGAUACAGGACUACUUUAGGAAAUUCAAGAAACGGAAAGAACAAGGACUGGUGGGAAAGUACCCUGCGAAGAACACCACAAUUGCCCUACAGGCGGGAUUAAGGACACUGCAUGACAUUGGGCCAGAAAUCCGGCGUGCUAUAUCGUGUGAUUUGCAAGAUGACGAGCCUGAGGAAACAAAACGAGAA
Molecule: small RNA, 1528 nt
Filed under: Pongo abelii (Sumatran orangutan)
Lineage: Eukaryota; Metazoa; Chordata; Mammalia; Primates; Hominidae
Description: retained intron
Source: RNAcentral